GAGUAACGCGUGAGGAACCUGCCUCAAAGAGGGGGACAACAGUUGGAAACGACUGCUAAUACCGCAUAAGCCCACGGAUCGGCAUCGAUCUGAGGGAAAAGGAGCAAUCCGCUUUGAGAUGGCCUCGCGUCCGAUUAGCUAGUUGGUGAGGUAACGGCCCACCAAGGCGACGAUCGGUAGCCGGACUGAGAGGUUGAACGGCCACAUUGGGACUGAGACACGGCCCAGACUCCUACGGGAGGCAGCAGUGGGGAAUAUUGCACAAUGGGGGAAACCCUGAUGCAGCGACGCCGCGUGGAGGAAGAAGGUCUUCGGAUUGUAAACUCCUGUUGUUGAGGAAGAUAAUGACGGUACUCAACAAGGAAGUGACGGCUAACUACGUGCCAGCAGCCGCGGUAAAACGUAGGUCACAAGCGUUGUCCGGAAUUACUGGGUGUAAAGGGAGCGCAGGCGGGAAGACAAGUUGGAAGUGAAAUCUAUGGGCUCAACCCAUAAACUGCUUUCAAAACUGUUUUUCUUGAGUAGUGCAGAGGUAGGCGGAAUUCCCGGUGUA
RNAcentral lists this ribosomal RNA (553 nucleotides) under uncultured bacterium. RNAcentral describes it as "bacterial SSU rRNA". It matches the Rfam family "Bacterial small subunit ribosomal RNA", at positions 108 to 677 of the family's 1533-position model. The record is from RNAcentral.